CCUACGGGAGGCAGCAGCAAGGAAUUUUGCGCAAUGGGCGAAAGCCUGACGCAGCAACGCCGCGUGGGGGAUGAAGGCCUUCGGGUUGUAAACCCCUUUUGCGAGGGAAGAAGAUCUGACGGUACCUCGCGAAUAAGCCACGGCUAACUACGUGCCAGCAGCCGCGGUAAUACGUAGGUGGCAAGCGUUGUCCGGAUUUACUGGGCGUAAAGCGCGCGCAGGCGGACUGAUCAGUCUGGGGUGAAAUCUCCCGGCUCAACUGGGAGCGGUCCCUGGAUACUGUCAGUCUUGAGAGACCUAGAGGAGAGCGGAAUUCCCGGUGUAGUGGUGGAAUGCGUAGAUAUCGGGAAGAACACCAGUGGCGAAAGCGGCUCUCUGGGGGUUUUCUGACGCUGAGGCGCGAAAGCGUGGGGAGCGAACCGGAUUAGAUACCCGGGUAGUCCACGCCGUAAACGAUGAGUACUAGCUGUCGGGGGUAUCGACCCUCCGGUAGCGCAGCUACGACGAUAAGUACUCCGCCGUCGGGUACGUACGACCGACGAACGUUAAACGUACAAUAGAUAGACGGCGUGAGACGCGCCGACGGACGACGACGAGGGAGUAGG
Molecule: ribosomal RNA, 605 nt
Filed under: uncultured bacterium
Lineage: Bacteria
Description: bacterial SSU rRNA
Rfam family: Bacterial small subunit ribosomal RNA (bases 1-520)
Source: RNAcentral